GUCACGCCCCAGACCCGGAUCCGUGACACGGCCGUGCUAUUGCCGACUAUCGCCCACAGUAGCACGCAGCCUCAUACAGGGGUAACAGGUAGCCAAAAGGAUUCAAACUUAUAUAUAUGUAUUAAAAGUUUUGCAGUACAACCUUCAAGUUUGAAACCAAAAAUAUAGAACUUCUAUGCUAUUCAAAUGUACAAAAGUAUAUAAGCUUCUCCAAAAAUACGAAGCUCUGUAACAAAAUAAAAACAUAUCUGAUGGCGAUCACUGAUGAGGAUCUGAAAGAAAACGAAGCAUAAACAGAUGUGAGCUACAAGGCUCAGUAAGUAAUCCUGCAUAAUCCUACCGGAUCAACCAGUAGGCUAAACAUGUAAAUCAGGGUUUGAGAAGCUGACAUGCAUGUUUAUCUAAUAAUCAUCAUGGCAUAAUAUGUAUGCAAUUUAAACAAGGCAGUAGUGCAAAUCACAAAAUUUUCAUAUUAUAUGCAUAUGAAACCGUGCCCCCGGCAUGCCGUGGUCCUUUUUCUCUCGGAUGCUACUGCGAAGUCAGACUCGACCACUGGCGGGGCCAGCUCAGUUACUAUUCAGCCACUGGCGGGGCAGGCUCAGUUACUAUUCAGCCACUGGC
RNAcentral lists this long non-coding RNA (621 nucleotides) under Phoenix dactylifera (date palm). RNAcentral's name for it is "long non-coding RNA (PDAC_LNC015463)". Lineage: Eukaryota; Viridiplantae; Streptophyta; Magnoliopsida; Arecales; Arecaceae. The record is from RNAcentral.